Molecule: long non-coding RNA, 741 nt
Organism: Quercus robur (English oak)
Lineage: Eukaryota; Viridiplantae; Streptophyta; Magnoliopsida; Fagales; Fagaceae
Exons: 3
Source: RefSeq, a predicted model, not a curated record
AUUUAUUUAUAAAUAAAUAAACUCACGACAACAUUGAAAUCUAUUCUUUCUAUUUAACAGUGUUUGUAUUUGAAGUUUCUUUUUGAUGUCCCAGACAAGCCCCCAGAGUUCAUCGCCUCGAUUUCUAACUGCACCAAUAUCCCAACUCUUAAGGAUAUGGUUAUACCAAAGGAAUUGAGAGACAUAGUAUCAUCCCCAUCAUAUAAAGUCAAGCAGUUGAAGGUAGAGAUAUCGAAGUCAUUUACUACACAUGAAUUUAUUGAACUCGUGGAUAGCUUGCUCUGGAUAUCUCCUCUUCUAGAGCUUUUGUUAAGAAAAUAUGGGAAAUGGAUAGACGAAGAUAAGUGUUACGAGACCAUAUCUUUCAAGUUCUCCUAUGAAAAGCCCAUUCUUGGAGGGGAGAAUUCUAGUUGUUGCAAAUUCCUUCCAGUUCCUAGUUGGAGGCAUUGAUUAAAGAGCAUCACGAUAGAGAACUUUAGAGCAUUCACAAAUGUAGAGACUCUAAAGGCAGAUGAAGAAUUUCUAGAGAAGUUCAAAGCUUAUUAUUUAUUAUUUAUUUAUGACAUCAUCAGUUCGACCAUUGGUCCGAUCAUAAAACCAAGAACCACUCCUUAUUUCGAUUCUUUGACCAUACCGAUUUUCAAAACUAUUUGGCUUAUGACCUAAAAACUCAUAUGUUAAAUUUGGACAAAAAUAUUGGUAUACAUGAACAUGAUGAGAAGAGGGGACUAUCUUUCAAUA